Molecule: long non-coding RNA, 653 nt
Organism: Tetranychus urticae (two-spotted spider mite)
Lineage: Eukaryota; Metazoa; Arthropoda; Arachnida; Trombidiformes; Tetranychidae
Source: RefSeq, a predicted model, not a curated record
GAUGCAAUGAACAGCAUAAGAAAUAACGAUGAACCUUGAAUCGAAGUUUAGGUCAAAGUUCUUAAAUUUUCCUUGAUUUUAUCAAAUUUGAUUUCUGAUUGACCUUAUCAGUUUAGUCCUGCCUUAAUAAAGAGCGAUAAAAUGAAAGUUUAAUAAGUAUAUAAAAGCAUGCAAAUUGUCAUCAAAUUAUCACAUUAACCGUUCAACUUUCAAUCAAACAACUUUACUUGUGUUCCUAUUGAAUAACCACAAUCAAAGAUUCAAAAUGAACUCCAAAAUUAUGUUCAUCGCCAUUAUCCUUGCUGCUUCACUUAUGAUUGCUGAAGCAACAAUCAAAAUCCGAAUCCACAAAAAGCCAAUUAGUAUUCCAAUUCCUACUAAAAUCUCAUUGGGAUUGAUUGGUCAUGAUGAUUGGUGGGGUCAAUCUUGGGGUGGUUCAUGGUCAUCCUGGCCUUCAUGGGGUUGGGGAUGGCAAGAUGAUGCUUGGUGGUAAUUUACCAAUCCAAGGAACAUCAUAUUCAUCUUCAUAUCCAUGAUCAACUCAUAUUCAUGAUAAACUGUCAAUAUCUGCUCAAUAAUUUACAAACCACUUUUGUAAUGAUUAACAUCAAUUUACCUCAUCAUGUUAUUUAUAACAUUAUUCAUUAUCAUGA